Octopus sinensis (East Asian common octopus) is the source of this 266-nucleotide long non-coding RNA. RefSeq lists it as uncharacterized. The transcript has 3 exons. The record is from RefSeq and is a predicted model, not a curated record. NCBI's taxonomy places the organism in Eukaryota, Metazoa, Mollusca, Cephalopoda, Octopoda, Octopodidae.
ACAACAAUAAUAAGUUUCUAAUAAUAAUAAUAAUACCACCACCACCACCCACGUUUUAUAUUUGUGGGUAUGAGGCACGUUGCUCUUCAUUCGAGUUAUAGUCGUUGGUUCAUUCAUUAACUAAGGUCGGUCCUAAUGAUACCUCAAAUACUAUGACCGUUCGAAUUUCACUCAAAUGAAAGCCUUUUCUUUCACAUUCAAUUAACUUUUUUCACUCAUGGCUUCAAAAUUACUUCGACUUUUUAAACAAAUGUAAAAUAACUUUG